GUCUCCCACACCCACUUCACUAUCCACUCAUGCGGACUAGCCCAGCCUUGAUCACCAGUGGAAUCAAGACAUGACGAGACCACGCAACACGCACCUGGAAACCAUUGAGGGGGCGAGCAGGAGGUGGACUGGCUGCCUCCACAGGUGCACCUACAAGUGAGAAGGAUUUGAUGAAUUUGGAAAGAACACAGUGCUAUGAUGGCAUGUCUUAUGGUUUGAUGUGGACACCCCCAGCCCUCCACAUGGACUCUCUGUUCGGGCACCCCGGAAUUCAGUUGCAGUAACCUCAUUGUAACCGGAGAUCCCACCUGCAAUCUGCUAGCAAGAUGCCUAAAGAAACAAGAAUCUCCGGUGUACUUUAUACUCAAUGACAUUAGGUGCUUUUUGUCACUGGAAGAGCACAGAAGUCACAAAUGCAUAAAUAUAGUAUAGAUGUAGUAGUGCUAAUGUACGGAGCCCCUCGAGUGGUAGGGUAUAAGAAAAAAAAAAAAGCUAAUCUGUUCCCUCAAUUUACUCAUGUGGACCCACAAUUUUGUAUCCUGUUCCCACGGCAUACUAAUCUGUACCCUCAAUUAGAAAUCCAUUCCCACAUUUUACUAAUAGGUUU
Long non-coding RNA from Hippocampus comes (tiger tail seahorse), 607 nucleotides. RefSeq lists it as uncharacterized. NCBI's taxonomy places the organism in Eukaryota, Metazoa, Chordata, Actinopteri, Syngnathiformes, Syngnathidae. The record is from RefSeq and is a predicted model, not a curated record. The transcript is spliced from 3 exons.